UCCGUAGGCGGGUAAUUAAGUCAGAGGUGAAAUCCCACAGCUUAACUGUGGAACUGCCUAGAUACUGGUUAUCUUGAGUUUUAGUGAAGUAGAUAGAAUGUGUAGUGUAGCGGUGAAAUGCAUAGAUAUUACACAGAAUACCGAUUGCGAAGGCAGUCUACUAACUAACAACUGACGCUAAUGGGCGAAAGCGUGGGGAGCGAACAGGAUUAGAUACCCUGGUAGUCC
This 228-nucleotide ribosomal RNA is filed under the name uncultured bacterium. RNAcentral describes it as "partial 16S ribosomal RNA". It matches the Rfam family "Bacterial small subunit ribosomal RNA", at positions 568 to 796 of the family's 1533-position model. The record is from RNAcentral.